UGUAGAAUUCAAUGUUUGAUGUAAUGUAAUAAAGUUGAAAUUUGGACCGUUUUUGUUCAAUGUGGACCAAUUUGGUAACAUGUAUAAAUAAUCAAAAAUCUAAAUACAUGGGAGCCCAUUUAAAUACAUCAUAAAGGUAUUAAAAUAGAAAGUGACAUCAUAGUCAUGGCUAAAAAUAAACAAAAAUCCUUAAUCAGCAACAUUUAAAGUAAUAUCUAAAAAUAAAAUUCCUUUGUAACCAUAAAAGCCCAUUUAAAUACAUCAUAAAGAUAUUAAAAUAGAAAAUGACAUCAUAGUCAUGGCUAAACAUAGCAAAAAACCCUUAAUCAGCAUCAUUUAACAGUAAUAUCUAAAAAUGGAAAUUACAUCAUAAAGGUAUUAAAAUAGAAAAUGACAUCAUAGUCAUGGCUAAAAAUAAACAAAAUCCGUAAUCAGCAUCAGCAACAUUUUAUAGUAAUAUCUAAAAAUAAAAUUCCUUUGUAACCAUAAAAGCCCAUUUAAAUACAUCAUAACAGAUAUUAAAAUAGAAAAUGACAUCAUAGUCAUGGCUAAACAUAGCAAAAACCUUAAUCAGCAUCAUUUAACAGUAAUAUCUAAAAAUAAAAAUUUCUUUGCAACCAUAAAAGUAAAAUAGAUAAAAUGCUUCGCUGGGGCGCAGCUUGAUACGACCGCAGAGGUCGAACCCUGAACAGUUGGGGCAAGUAUGGACACAAAAUUCAAGCUUGAUACAGCUAUGACUUUGGAUUGUCAUUACAUAUUUGACACAGCAUAGGUUUCUGACACAGGAUGAAUGUGGUGUAAGAACUGGAAAAAAUUUAAUUUACCUAUUAUGGUGGAAUAUCCAUAAACUAAAUUGUUUGUUAAUUACAAUAUAUCAAAGAAUAUGUAGAAUUCAAUGUUUGAUGUAAUGUAAUAAAGUUGAAAUUUGGACCGUUUUUGUUCAAUGUGGACCAAUUUGGUAACAUGUAUAAAUAAUCAAAAAUCUAAAUACAUGGGAGCCCAUUUAAAUACAUCAUUAAGGUAUUAAAAUAGAAAGUGACAUCAUAGUCAUGGCUAAAAAUAAACAAAAAUCUUUAAUCAGCAACAUUUAAAGUAAUAUCUAAAAAUAAAAUUCCUUUGUAACCAUAAAAGCCCAUUUAAAUACAUCAUAAAGAUAUUAAAAUAGAAAAUGACAUCCUAGUCAUGGCUAAACAUAGCUAAAAACCCUUAAUCAGCAUCAUUUAACAGUAAUAUCUAAAAAUGGAAAUUACAUCAUAAAGCUAUUAAAAUAGAAAAUGACAUCAUAGUCAUGGCUAAAAAUAAACAAAAUCCUUAAUCAGCAUCAGCAACAUUUUAUAGUAAUAUCUAAAAAAAAAAUUCCUUUGUAACCAUAAAAGCCCAUUUAAAUACAUCAUAACAGAUAUUAAAAUAGAAAAUGACAUCAUAGUCAUGGCUAAACAUAGCAAAAACCUUAAUCAGCAUCAUUUAACAGUAAUAUCUAAAAAUAAAAAUUUCUUUGCAACCAUAAAAGUAAAAUAGAAAAUGACAUCAUAAUCAUAGCUAAAAAUAAACAAAAUUUUUUUUUAUUGGCAAACUUUAAAUGGAGUUUAUUAUACUAAAACAAUAAAUUUGCAACCAUAAACAUGAUAAAACCCCAUUUAAACACAUCAUAAAAGUAUUAAAUAAUUCAACUACAUCAUAAGGCUAUAAAAAUAGAAGAUGACUUCAUAGUCAAGGCUAAAGGUAAACAAAAAACCUUCAUCAGCAAAAUUUUAUAUUGGCAAAUUUCCAAUGAAGUUUAUUACACUAAAAUUGUUGGCAAAUUUCCAAUGCAUUUAUUAACAAUAAAGUUAUUGGCAAAUUUCCAAUUUACAUAAUUUAAAAGCAGUGUAGAUGAGAUAUUUAAAUGAGUUUGAAUUACCAACCUUACACUGCUUUUAAAUAAUGUUCUUUACUCAAUUAUUUGUCUAUUAAAAUGGAAACCCUUGUUUUUUAACCUUUUUUCCCCUUAUUCCUUAAACAUUAGAGCCAUAACCA
Long non-coding RNA from Mytilus californianus (California mussel), 2016 nucleotides. RefSeq lists it as uncharacterized. NCBI's taxonomy places the organism in Eukaryota, Metazoa, Mollusca, Bivalvia, Mytilida, Mytilidae. The record is from RefSeq and is a predicted model, not a curated record. The transcript has 2 exons.